Hordeum vulgare subsp. vulgare (domesticated barley) is the source of this 125-nucleotide non-coding RNA. The record is from Rfam. Lineage: Eukaryota; Viridiplantae; Streptophyta; Magnoliopsida; Poales; Poaceae.
UAUAUACUCUCUCCGUUCCAAAUUACUUGUCGUAAAAAUGAAUAGAAAUGAAUGUAUCUAAAAUUAAAAUGCAUCUAAAUACAUUCAUUCCUUCGACAAGUAUUUCAGGAUGGAGGAAGCAUGAC